This 484-nucleotide ribosomal RNA is filed under the name uncultured bacterium. RNAcentral's name for it is "partial 16S ribosomal RNA". It matches the Rfam family "Bacterial small subunit ribosomal RNA", at positions 30 to 507 of the family's 1533-position model. The record is from RNAcentral.
AUUGAACGCUGGCGGCAGGCCUAACACAUGCAAGUCGAGCGGAUGAAGGGAGCUUGCUCCUGGAUUCAGCGGCGGACGGGUGAGUAAUGCCUAGGAAUCUGCCUGGUAGUGGGGGAUAACGUCCGGAAACGGGCGCUAAUACCGCAUACGUCCUGAGGGAGAAAGUGGGGGGUCUUCGGACCUCACGCUCUCAGAUGAGCCUAGGUGGGAUUAGCUAGUUGGUGGGGUAAAGGGCUACCAAGGCGACGAUCCGUAACUGGUCUGAGAGCAUGACCACAUAGCCUGGAGGUGAGGCACGUUCGAGACUCCUGCAGGAGGCAGCAGUGGGGAAUACUGGAGGAUGGGCUAAAGCUUUAUCCAGCCAUACCGCGGGUGUCAAGAAGGUCUUCGGGUUGUAGAGUACUUCAAGUUGGGAGGAAGGCCAGUAAGUUAAUACCGUGCUUUUUUGACGUUACCAACAGAAUAAGCACCGGCUAACUUCGUG